UGCAUCACGUGUGACCUCCAUAC
Molecule: microRNA, 23 nt
Filed under: Ornithorhynchus anatinus (platypus)
Lineage: Eukaryota; Metazoa; Chordata; Mammalia; Monotremata; Ornithorhynchidae
Description: Oan-Mir-1421-P7c_3p* (star (passenger))
Source: RNAcentral